Long non-coding RNA from Rosa chinensis, 343 nucleotides. RefSeq lists it as uncharacterized. The record is from RefSeq and is a predicted model, not a curated record. Lineage: Eukaryota; Viridiplantae; Streptophyta; Magnoliopsida; Rosales; Rosaceae. The transcript has 3 exons.
GGGUGGUAGAUUCUUAUACGAGUUCCCUAUCACCUAAAAUGGUGGAGUGUUUGGUCUGCUCAAGUGAUUGGCUGAGGGCUACAACACCUAACUUCUACAAGGAACCAACUGUGGCUGAGCUGGAGCAGUAUCGCGAGCUAGAAGCAAUGGAGAGAGAAACUGCUGGACUUAGAUUGGAUGAACCAAGCUCUUCUACGACCACUGCUGCAACAUACGAAGAUGCAUAGUUCAGUUUUCUGUCGGUGCAAAGGUUUUGCGACAUCCCCAUAAUGGAGAAGAUGAAGUGAUGGAUGAUCAGAACAUUAAAGCAACCUAACUUGUAUUUUGUUCAGUUUUAUUUGUA